GGAGGAGGAGGAGCGGGAGGAGGAGCAGCAGAGGCGUGAGGAGCAGAGGAGGCAGCCGGUGAGGGAGGGGCGCAGCGACGGGGACCGGCUUAAAGAGAUAGAGCGGAGGUGCGACCUCUAGGGGUGGCACCGCCAGGAGUGAGGCUCUCUCUGUGUGAUCCUGCCCACGGCGCCAACUGUAGCAGUGAGCUCUACCUCAAGACCCAGCAAUAACACUCCUGGGCAUGUACCUAAAAGAUGCUCCACCAUACAACAACGACAUUUGCUCAACCAUGUUCAUCAAGCUUUAUUCGUAAUAGCCAGAAACUGAAAACAACCCCGAUGUCCCUCAGCUGAAGAAUGGAUAAAGAAAAUAUGGUAUAUUUUCACAAUGGAAUACUACUAUUCAGCUAUUAAAAACAAGGAAAUCAUGAAGUUUGCAGGCAAAUGGAUGGAACUAGAAAGUAUCAUCCUGAGUGAGGUGAUCCAGGCCCAGAAAGACACACAUGGUAUGUACUCACUUAUAAGUGGAUAUUAGCCAUACAGUACAGGAUAGACAUACUAAAAUUCACAGAAGCUAAAUAACAAGGAGGGCCUGAGAGGAUGUCUGAAUCUCACUCAGAAGGAGAAAUAGAAUAAACAACAGAAGUGGGUGAAGAGAGGAAACAGGGUAGGAGAGGGGUGUGGAGGGAAAUGAGGGUGAGGAUUAGAUGUGGGAGAGCAUGGGUGGGAGGUCAGAGGGCUUAGACAGAGAAGGAAACUGAGGGCAGAGCCACUGGUGAGACAAGCAGGAGACCUACAACAGGGAGGGCUACAGGGAAGAUAUGGGGGUGACUCUAGCUAAGACUCCUGGUUGGGAGGUGAGAGGUCAUAGAGACUGAAGAGGCCAUCUUCUAGCCAGACAGGACUUCUAGUGGAGGGAGGAGAACACCAAACCACCCACAAAAACUUUGUCCCAAAAUUUACUCUGCCUUCAAGAUGUGCAGGGAUAAAGUUAGAGCAGAGAUUGAAAGAAUGUCUAACCUGGCCCAACCUGAGACCUACCCAACGGGAGAGAGCCAACCUCUGACACUAUUAAUGAUGCCCUACUAUGCUUCCGGACUGAAGCCUAGUAUAGUUGUCUCCUGAGAGGAUCCACUCAGCAGCAGAUUGGAACAGCCAAAUACUAGGCGGAGCUUGGGGAGUUUUGUGGAAAAGUGUUGGGGUGGAUAGAAGGAACCAGAGAGGAUGAGAACUCCACAAGAAGACCAACAGAGUCAACUAUCCAGGGCCCAGAAGGGCAUAUGGAGACUGAAGCAUCAAUUAAGGACCAUGCAUGGACUGGAGCUAGGUUCUCUACAAAUGCCAAUGGACAGCUCAGUCCUCAUGUGCGUCCGUUAGUAAGGGGAGCAGAAGCUGUCUCUGACAUGGAUUCUGUUGCCUGCUUUCCGAUUAUGAUCCUGUGGAGGGGCUGCCUUGCCCAGCCUCAGUGGAAGAGGAUGUUCUCAGUCCUGAUGUGACUUUAUGUGCUGAGGUGGGUUAGUGGGAGGGCUCUCCUUUUCUGAGUAGGGGAGGGAAAUGAGGGAAGAGGGAGAGAGGAUGGGACUGGGUGAAGAAGAGGGAGGUGGCUAUGAUGGGGAUGUGAAGUGACUAAAAAUUUUAAAAUAUUUUAAAUAAGUAAAUAAAUAAUGGUUAAUGGCUAUAAAUAUGUAAUUUAGGUGUUAUUUAUAUGUAAAUUGGACAUUUCUUUCCAUUAAAUUCUGCUAAUUUUUUAUUUUUAUAAUAUCUAAAGUACUUACAUAAAAUGACAAAAAUAAAUUACUUUAAUGUCAGAUUUAAAAUAUAUUUUUUUUUCUGGAAAAAUAAUGUAUUCUAGUUUCAUCCUAUUCUGCUCUUACCCAGGCCUUAAGAUAAGGCAUUCUUUAAUAGGUCCCUGAUUUGUUCUGAUGUAGAAUAAUGUUCGUU
Molecule: long non-coding RNA, 1923 nt
Organism: Meriones unguiculatus (Mongolian gerbil)
Lineage: Eukaryota; Metazoa; Chordata; Mammalia; Rodentia; Muridae
Exons: 3
Source: RefSeq, a predicted model, not a curated record